AAUGGAUGCCUAAGUGAAUGGAUGGAUUCAUGAAUAGAUAGUCAUCACACAAUUUCUCCCAGAGAGAAGGCCAUUCCAUCAAUAUGGAAGAAAUACAAUAAAGGCAAGAAAGAAGAUGGAUGACCCAUCAAGCAAUGAGAGUCUUUUCUCCAUGGGGAAGAAUAUACCACUUCUACAGUACUCCCCACCCCCUCCUGAUCAGGGAGCUGGUGUCUUGCGUUUCACAGAAAGGGAUCUUUUGAAAAAGUGCAGAAAGUUGGUGACAUACACAGGCUGCAGCACAGGUACUGCUGUAUGGGGGUAUCCCCACAGCCUCAUGCUGCCACUCCUAUGGUCC
Molecule: long non-coding RNA, 337 nt
Filed under: Phasianus colchicus (ring-necked pheasant)
Lineage: Eukaryota; Metazoa; Chordata; Aves; Galliformes; Phasianidae
Description: lncRNA (ENSPCLG00000003728.1)
Source: RNAcentral